GAUGAACGCUAGCGACAGGCUUAACACAUGCAAGUCGAGGGGCAGCGCAGCGGGGUAACUCGCGGGCGGCGACCGGCGCACGGGUGAGUAACGCGUAUGCAACCUGCCCAUAGCAGCGGGAUAACCGGGAGAAAUUCCGACUAAUACCGCAUAUAUCUGUUUGUUGCAUGACAGACGGAGGAAAGGAGACGGCUAUGGAUGGGCAUGCGAGGCAUUAGGUAGUUGGUGAGGUAACGGCUCACCAAGCCUGCGAUCCGUAGCUGGUCUGAGAGGAUGAUCAGCCACACUGGGACUGAGACACGGCCCAGACUCCUACGGGAGGCAGCAGUGGGGAAUAUUGGACAAUGGGCGCAAGCCUGAUCCAGCCAUGCCGCGUGAGUGAUGAAGGCCUUAGGUUGUAAAGCUCUUUCGUCGGGGAAGAUAAUGACGGUACCCGAAGAAGAAGCCUCGGCUAACUCCGUGCCAGCAGCCG
This 472-nucleotide ribosomal RNA is filed under the name uncultured bacterium. RNAcentral's name for it is "bacterial SSU rRNA". It matches the Rfam family "Bacterial small subunit ribosomal RNA", at positions 28 to 517 of the family's 1533-position model. The record is from RNAcentral.